Molecule: unclassified non-coding RNA, 390 nt
Filed under: soil metagenome
Description: partial contains 5.8S ribosomal RNA, internal transcribed spacer 2, and large subunit ribosomal RNA
Rfam family: 5.8S ribosomal RNA (bases 1-122)
Source: RNAcentral
GAUGAAGAACGUAGUGAAAUGCGAUACUUGGUGUGAAUUGCAGAAUCCCGUGAACCAUCGAGUCUUUGAACGCAAGUUGCGCCCGAAGCCAUUAGGCCGAGGGCACGCCUGCCUGGGCGUCACACGUCGUUGCCCCCCCAUCUACUCCUUCGGGAUUGCGGGGGGCGGAUGAUGGCCUCUCGUGCGCCUCGUCGCGCGGUUGGCCUAAAUGCCAAGUCCUCGGCGACGCACGCCACGACAAUCGGUGGUUGCGAAACCUCGGUUGCCUGUCGUGUGCGGUCGUCGCGCAUCGAGGGCUCGAAAAAAUUGCCGGGCUUCGGCUCGACUUUCAACGCGACCCCAGGUCAGGCGGGGUUACCCGCUGAAUUUAAGCAUAUCAUAAGCGGAGGA